This 448-nucleotide ribosomal RNA is filed under the name uncultured prokaryote. Its description in RNAcentral is "bacterial SSU rRNA". It matches the Rfam family "Bacterial small subunit ribosomal RNA", at positions 355 to 796 of the family's 1533-position model. The record is from RNAcentral.
UCGGGAAUCUUGCACAAUGGGCGAAAGCCUGAUGCAGCAACGCCGUGUGGGCGAGGAAGGUCUUCGGAUCGUAAAGCCCUGUUGUUGGGGACGAAGGGCGAAGGGUUAAUAGCCCCUAGCCUGACGGUACCCUUCGAGGAAGCCCCGGCUAACUACGUGCCAGCAGCCGCGGUAAUACGUAGGGGGCGAGCGUUGUCCGGAAUUAUUGGGCGUAAAGAGCGUGUAGGCGGCCCGGUAAGUCUGCCGUGAAAACCUGGGGCUCAACCCCGGGCGUGCGGUGGAUACUGCUGGGCUAGAGGAUGGUAGAGGCGAGUGGAAUUCCCGGUGUAGCGGUGAAAUGCGCAGAGAUCGGGAGGAACACCAGUAGCGAAGGCGGCUCGCUGGGCCAUUCCUGACGCUGAGACGCGAAAGCUAGGGGAGCGAACAGGAUUAGAUACCCCCGUAGUCC